UCGCGNCGGUGUGCGCAGAAGGGUCUGGGCUCGAGCCUGCCUGGAGCCGCCGCCGGUGCAGAUCUUGGUGGUAGUAGCAAAUACUCCAGCGAGGCCCUGGAGGACUGAUGUGGAGAAGGGUUUCGUGUGAACAGCCGUUGCACACGAGUCAGUCGAUCCUAAGCCCUAGGAGAAAUCCGAUGCAAACGGCGAUGGGAAACG
Molecule: ribosomal RNA, 201 nt
Filed under: Orthetrum pruinosum
Lineage: Eukaryota; Metazoa; Arthropoda; Insecta; Odonata; Libellulidae
Description: partial 28S ribosomal RNA
Rfam family: Eukaryotic large subunit ribosomal RNA
Source: RNAcentral